UGUGUGUGUGUGCGUAUGUAUAUGUCUCUGUGUGUGUGUGUGUGUGUGUGUGCGUGUGUGGUGCAUAUGUAUCUGUCUCUGUUUGUGCAUGUGUGUGUGUGUUUGUGGCUGCGCUUAGAUGUGUCUGUGUCUGUGGGGGAGGUGGGUGUGUUUAAACAGCAUAACCUUCCAACUGCGAUCGUUUACGAUACACUCACAGUGACUUGAUCUGAUGAUCCACAUAUGGCCCUACAAGACUCCCCUCAUGCCUAGUCUCCCACAGAGAGAGAUAUGUGUGUGUUUAUUGUCCAGUCUCCCACAGAGAGAGAGAGAGAUGUGUGUGUGUAUAUUGUCCACUCUCCCACAGAGAGAGAGAGAGAUGUGUGUGUAUAUAGCUUUUUGUGCAGCAAAUCCACAGGUCCACACUGAUCCGUAAUAAGAUAAAUAUGGGAAAAUAACUGGCAUAGGGGAUUCCACAAAGCUACACAAAUUAGAAAGUAGCUUCUCACUUUGUCUUGUAGACACUUGUGUGUGUAGUUUUUGUCUGCCUUUUGUCUGCUUGCCAUGUUUUAAUAGAUAGCAAGGUUUAUUUUUAGGAAAACACGUUUAUAGAGGUACUUUUGGAUUUCUUUGAUGACUUUUAUAUAUACAUACAUAUAUAUAUAUAUUUUGUAUAUUUUUCCUUAUGACACUUUUUAGGUGAAGAAAUGACCAUUACUUUAAGAUACAAUAAUAAUCAAUGCUUUGAUCCUUAUUUUAGCUCAGCCAAUCAAUGUGUGGCCACCAUUUCAGUCAUGUCAAAAACACAAUAACUGUUUUAUUCAUAUUUAUUCAUCUAUUGUUUGGUCAUCACAAAAAUAUAUCUCUUUCUGACUGUUCCUCUCUGACCUGUCAAAGACACUGAUAGUGACAGCUGCCAGGGAUAUGUAUGUCGCACGUCUUUGAUAGCAAUUCAAUAUUGAAACUAACUAGCCAUGGAUGACAGGCUUCUAAUAACCUUUACCAUAAUUGGUGCUAAGGGCUUCUGCCGUCACAGCCCCACAUCUCUCAACCAAAGGACGAUUAAAUAAUUACAUUAAAACGAAAUUUGCAUUGAACGACCUUCACGCCCACAGUGUAAACAAAUGUCACUGCAUCUUCACUUCACCGCCACUGUCUUUGCUCUGAGGUGUCUUCUGUUUAAAUUGUUUUUUUUUGUUACACACACACACACACACACACGUGUGUUAUCUAAACGUGUACAAUGAUUCAGUCUCGUGGACACACUAAUCUGUAUGCUGGAACCCUGUUUUUUUGUUGACCUAAGCUUCCAAAACGAGUUUUAGCUUUCUGAAAGCGCACAGUGUUGCCGUGACGAAGAGCACAAGCGGAGGCAGUAUCACGUCACGUAACCUCAGAGUGAAAUGACUUCCAGUGAUUCUGAAGAGCGAUGACUGCACAUAGUGCCUCUUCAACGCAUUAUGACUGUUAGACUUGUGACAGCUGCAGAUGUACUCGAAUUCUAACUGAAUGCAAUUUGUGUAUUUCUUUCUUUAUUUUCCUCCUCUGUGUUUUAAUGUGUUUGUUUGUAUAUGGCCUUGUUCUGCAAGACCACUAAGGAAGCUAUUCAAUUUUCUCUUCCCACCCCUACGAGUUUAAAGUGAAAUCCAUGGACGUGUUAAUGUUCAAUAUUGACACACCAGCUGUUUGCAGUGUUACCUCGGUGUGCCACCUCUCCCUCCGAGCUGGCGUCCUCACAGCAAGCAUUAAUCCUCGCAGGAUUUUUUUAUAAACAAAUUUGACGCAUGAUUGCAUCACUGGUGUAAGUGAGAGAAAAAAAAAAGACUAUAAACAGAGAUGAAUAUUAAAUGGCCUAGGAUUAUUUAUUUAGUAUAGCUUGAAUAAUGUGUGUAGCUGUUGCCAGACAAAGUUUUUUUGUUUGUUUGUUUGUUUAAAGAAAAGCUCUGUGGUUUUCACUGUUAUGUGAAGUGCGGUAGGCAAAAUGUACCACUGAAUCUUCCCUGUAGCACUUGAAAAUAUCCUAUUAAUUCCCUUUUGACAAACAAAAAUAAUUCAUGGUUUCAUCCUAAUAAUCAAUGUAUAUGUGAAUGCUGACACCCACUAGUCCACAACAGGUAAAUCCUGCACUUGCUGUUCAGAAAGACACGUUUGGAACUGACUGAAAUUCAGCCUAGGGUUAGGGUAAGGGUUAGCGAUAGCGUUAGCAUUAGCGUUAACGCAUAGAGAAAUGGAGCAUGGAUAUCGUAUUUCACCUUGUCUGUCCGUUACCAACCUACUACCAUCGAUUACAUUCACAUUCCAGUCAAGUCCACAGCGGCAUGUGUGAUUCAGAACCCACCAUGACAGAGACGUUUGGAUAAAGACUCACACACGACAACGCUACAUAAAACGAUAGAUAGCUACAUUUACAACAAAAACAUCAGCUGUCUUCUGCGUUGACUAUUGACAUCCAUUGAAGAUGAGAGCUGAACCUGUUACGGGUUUUGAGUCAGAUCUUAGCCAGAUGCCGUCCAUGAUCAGCUGUUCUCUAGGGUGUCUGAAGUGUCAACUGCAACCUGACACACGUAAGCCUCCACUGGCAGGUUAGUUUGCCGAUAGCUAGUUACCAGUUAACAAAGUGCUACUUCAUUGAUAUAAAAAAAAAACUCGAUCACAUCACAAAGUGCAGCCAGAUAGUUUCAGUACCCCAUAAGUACCCUGAGCUGUGUACACCAAACAUGUUUCAAAAAGUCUGUAGCCUAUUAAACCAACCUAACAGGUCUAAUCUUAUGGUGGGACAGACCUUUCACACGGUCCACAGUCUAGUAUCGUCUGUUUCAUUUCAGUGUGUUAGCUGUUCUCCUCAGUCUACUGUAGUACUGUAGCACUCGGGGUGUGUGAGCCCAAGGUAAGCUGUUGUGAAGUAAUCUGUACAUCCACCCAUUGUAACCCCGUCACCCGUCUGAAGUGAUACUGACUCGUGUUAUGUUUGGAUGCAGUCACACACACACACACAUUUCUCAUGUUUUGUAUUAGAG
Molecule: long non-coding RNA, 2996 nt
Organism: Clupea harengus (Atlantic herring)
Lineage: Eukaryota; Metazoa; Chordata; Actinopteri; Clupeiformes; Clupeidae
Source: Ensembl